AAUUCUCAACCUUAAAAGCUUUUGUGCUUUCAAGGAUUGGAUGUGGAGGCUUGCUGGCUUUUAACAUGGUCAGCUCCUCUUAAAUGCAUUAGUGGAAACCAGUUGUAGUCCACGUUGGUGUGAUAAUUAUCUACGCCACUGCUGAGACUACAGCUCUAUCGAGUUGCUCGGAUGUACUUGUACACUUCGGUAUGGAAGGCUGCACUCUAACGAGUUGCUCUUUCUGACUUGAUAUGAGUUUAAAGGUAAUCUGCUUCAAACUGUCCUAAGUCACUGGACAAUUAUUUGAUUU
This 292-nucleotide unclassified non-coding RNA is filed under the name uncultured Marasmiaceae. RNAcentral describes it as "sequence contains ITS2". The record is from RNAcentral. Lineage: Eukaryota; Fungi; Basidiomycota; Agaricomycetes; Agaricales.